Molecule: non-coding RNA, 1678 nt
Organism: Ictidomys tridecemlineatus (thirteen-lined ground squirrel)
Lineage: Eukaryota; Metazoa; Chordata; Mammalia; Rodentia; Sciuridae
Source: RefSeq, a predicted model, not a curated record
GAAUCGAACCCAGUGCCUCACCCGUGCCAGGCAAGUGCUUUACCCCUGAGCCACACCCCCAGCCCCAGUCUGAGAGUUUUAAAAAUCUGUCGGGCAAACUUAUUCACACUCCUCCCUCCAAAAGGUAAGCCCCAGCCCUUGGGCCCUUGGAGUAAGCUGGACUUAAUGACGAUUCUAAAGAAGAGACUGAGGCAGACUGUAGCCUUCUGGUAAUUGUAGGCCCAGAUCCACAUCCCAGCGGCAGACUCGUGAGAGACCCUGUGCUGUGACCCACUCGGCUGGGCUGCUCUUGAUUCCUGACCCACAGAGACCGUGCGAGAUAAUCACGUUUGUUGCUGUACUAGCAGAAUUCAGAACAAGAGGGAUCCCAAGGAUCUGCGCCAGACUAAUAACUCACACUGCUUCUUGCUGAAGGGAGCCCAACCAGGUGCAAUGGACCGGGGCCCUGUGUCAGGAGGAGCUUGUCCCAGGAGGAGGUGACAGAGCCAGCCCUGGCUACCAGGCGUUCACUCCGUGCCAGUUGGGGAAACGGAGCCUACAAGGGGCAAAAGACUUGCCGCAGGACCCGGAGUUGACAAGAUCUGGAGCCAAGACUCAGACUCAAGGCUGACCCACGUAGACUGCCCAAGAACGUGAGCUGGACCAUGGUGGUGUGAAUCUCGGGGCAGCUGCUUCCCCGAUACGCGUCUUUGGACACACUCUGCUAUCCUGGUUGUCUUGCUUGGUGAAGCUUUCCUUGGUGAAGUGACCCGAGUAUCAAGGAAUGGAGGGUAGCCUCUGAGAGCUGAGAGCCCGUGUGGAGCCAAAUCCUGCAGCAAACCACAGUAGCCCAGAAAGCAGGAGUCUCGUCCAGCCUUGAGAUGACUGUGCUGGCUGACCCCCUAUGGUGGCCACACAAUGUUUCACGGGUUUUGAUCAGGCAAAGCCAAUCAAGGGAGGUCCCAUCUGCCUUUUCUGAAUAUUACACGGACGUAUGCAAAUAGCAAGCUGGCCGAUGGCCCACGGAUUUGCAGGGGACAAGUCCACAGGAAGGCCCAUAUGUUGCUUCUCUGGUAGUGCUGAUUUACUGCCUGGUGUAAAACCCCAUCUGUGAUGGGUCACCCGCGAGAGCAUCCGGGCCAGUGCUUAAAGCCGAGCGCCAUCAACUAAAGGGCCAUAAGACCCCUGUGAGGUCAGAGGUUUCCUGGAUGGUGCUCAGAAUGCACCUUUCUGCCUGGAAUGCGGCCUGUAGCAAAUGUGAAUACUGAGUUGCCCAGCUUGGCUUUGAGCUUCCUGACUGGAACAGAGAAGGGGAGGCACUUAUUCCGGUGCAUUCGUGUUCUCAAUGCGUUCUCUCUGGACCAUCAGUGGUUUUGACCACAGUUGAAUUGCAGGCAUUCUGCAGCCAACCAGGUGAUGUGCCUUACCCUGGCGUCAUGUUGAGCCACACCAUCAUGACAUGGUGAAAUGCCCCCUGAGUGCCUGCUCUAAGCUGCUGUGCCCUGUCCACCGCAGUUUCUGCCACACAGCACCAGAGGGACCUUCGUCUCCUGGCGCUGAUUCCUCAGGGUAGUGAGGAGCAGAGCAGGUCUGCGGGAUGGACACAGCAAUCGCUUGCCAGACCUGGGCCUCCUAGGAGAAGCCCCAGGGCUCACCAGAGACCCCAAAAGACCUCCUGAUGACUUAAGAGAGAUGACUG